CUCUGUCAUGUCUCAUAAAGCCGCAGUCGAAUUGGCCCGGUUCAAUGAACCUUCUUCCUUUUUUUGCCUUUCCGCUCUUGGGGCGGUGAGAUUGGAAUGAAUCCGUUUUCCUGCUCUCUUCUGGCAGAGGCUCCCGAAUGGUUGUUGUGGGGCGGGGCCAAUCUGCGGGUUGGGGAUGGACUACCCGAGGCUUUUGGCGGGUCUGGAUUUGCGUGCUUCUCAAUGCUUUUUGCUUGAGGUCUGGGUUAUGCCGGUCUUUGAUUUUUGCGGCUGUGAGAGUUUCAGUUACUUUAAAGAUGUUGAUAUCCAAAUUCAAUGCCAUUCAGAGCAACACCCUCUCUCAGCUUCAUAAGUCUGGACUUGCUUUGCCCGAGAAAUUGAAGAAGGGUGACAAGUUAACCAAAGCAAUACUGGCUUUUGCCUUGCCCUGCUGGCUGCUGCUGAUUCAACCAGUACAAGGGGGUUCCAAAACCCCAACUUUACAGUAUGGCACAUUUGGGAGGAGGAAUAAUGCUCCUUCGACACACCCUCCACCUGUUAAUGACCCGACAAGGGGUUGCAAUGCCGCAAACGGUUGUCGCCAGUUUACUCUGAGUCUUGAAAACCUCGGAGGAACUCUAGUUGAAGCUGUUGGCAAUGUUACAGUGGCGGAGGGAACUUUGAACCACAGAGAGCCAGGUACCGAGGCCAUAGCUGCUGGGAUUGCCACUUGGUUCUUGAACAAGACUGAGUCCAAUAGCAAUACAUAUGGCCGAUUAAGCAUUUCACAGGACCCAAUUUCCAGUGCUGCAGUGUCAUCACAAAUGUUGCAGCUACAGGCUGUUUCUCGAGGGAUUGCUCGUAUGGGACUGCAAGUGUAUACAUCAAUGUCAACUGAAGAUAACUCCAAGAUACCUCCGGCAGAUGGAAACAUUGAAAUAAAAGUUAAUUCAACAUCGAACAUGGUGGACUUGAGGUUCUUCACUAGCCUUGAAAUCAGUCUUGGAGAAGCUGAUAUUAUACACGUCUUGGAAUCUGCUAAAACUGUUUUACAGUUCACUCGACACUGAAGCUUAGUUUAGCAUUGCUGUUGCUGUCGGGAAAAAUGUGUUGCGAGAGAAACCAGUGAAAAACUAUUGCACUUUCUUGAAGUUGCGACUUCAAUCUACUGUUUUUGAAGUCACGACACUGCAUUAUUGAAGCCUUGACGCCAAGCAUCCGCCGUUGAUGUCGCGGUUGGAGCCUUCCAUGGUUGCGAUGCCAACUCGAUGAACUUUGAAAAUUUUGCAUUUUGGUUCUCAAAUGGUCUGGGGUUAAGGAAAGAGUUUUGGUUGAAUUACGUUGGCUUGAAUUACAUGAGUCUAUCCAGGCCCAAGACAAUACGAGUCAGGCCAGACUCUUAAAGAUAGAUCCAAGUUUUGCUCAAGUGUUCUUUUUUUUUUUCCCAAAUAAAUUAAAGCUUAAAUUCCAUCAAAGUUACUACACUAUUAGUAAGUUCACGUUUUGGUCACUUAACUUCAAAAUUUUAUGAAAUGGUCAAAGUUGUUAUUGAAAUCAUUGGGUUGUUAAAAUUGUUGUUGUAUGA
Gossypium raimondii (Peruvian cotton) is the source of this 1564-nucleotide RNA transcript. RefSeq lists it as uncharacterized. The transcript is spliced from 7 exons. The record is from RefSeq and is a predicted model, not a curated record. NCBI's taxonomy places the organism in Eukaryota, Viridiplantae, Streptophyta, Magnoliopsida, Malvales, Malvaceae.